This 24-nucleotide non-coding RNA is filed under the name Cricetulus griseus (Chinese hamster). The record is from RNAcentral. Lineage: Eukaryota; Metazoa; Chordata; Mammalia; Rodentia; Cricetidae.
GAAGACAACGGGAAAUGGAACUCU